Long non-coding RNA from Choloepus didactylus (southern two-toed sloth), 712 nucleotides. RefSeq lists it as uncharacterized. The transcript has 3 exons. The record is from RefSeq and is a predicted model, not a curated record. NCBI's taxonomy places the organism in Eukaryota, Metazoa, Chordata, Mammalia, Pilosa, Megalonychidae.
UCUCCUACAAACCAGGGUUGGCUGACUCGAGGCGUCCGAACCGCCGAGGCUGACAAGGGAGCCCCAACUCGCAGGGUCUUUCAUCCGCUAAUCUUUUCCCCGGGACCACAGAUCCCGGAAGACUCUAUACCCGCUCCAAGCGCAUUACCCUCUGGGAUUUGUAGUCGGAGCCACCCCGUCAGGGGGCGCCCUCUAUCUGCGGCAGUGAGCGUUCAGCCUCCCCGGCCUCCGCAAAGCGGGAGCGCGGGAAAAUGCGGCUUGUGCGAGCAGCCGUGCGCGCGGACAGAGGUAACCCCAGCUGCAGAGGUUGCCCAUACAGGCACCAGGUCUUGGAGUUAAGUCAACAGGAGAAGAGUCAAGGGAGGUUACAGAUGAGAGGAGAGACUACAUGAUCUUUCAUCAACUGCAAAUGUUCUUUAGUGAUGGAUUCUGAUUACACUCUUCUCAACCAAGGAUCCCCUACCGAGGUAAUAGGAGCCUGAAGCUGUGGAAGGAAGCCAAGCUAACUGGUUCACAGAAGAUUUAAACUCCCAUUUGCUGUAUACUAUAGCCAACUGACUUAACUAGUGACAGGCUAGCUACUUAGACCACCCAUUCAUAUCCUGGCUUCAGGGAAAGGAUUUCUGUAAUAAAGUAAACUGUUUGAUCAAUAAAUGCUCUUUUGAAAGGAAAAUUCUUCAAUAAAACUGGGAAAAUUGGAUUCCAGUAAUCA